GUGGGGAAUAUUGGACAAUGGGCGAAAGCCUGAUCCAGCCAUGCCGCGUGUGUGAAGAAGGUCUUCGGAUUGUAAAGCACUUUAAGUUGGGAGGAAGGGCAGUAAGUUAAUACCUUGCUGUUUUGACGUUACCGACAGAAUAAGCACCGGCUAACUUCGUGCCAGCAGCCGCGUUAAUACGAAGGGUGCAAGCGUUAAUCGGAAUUACUGGGCGUAAAGCGCGCGUAGGUGGUUUUGUAAGUUGGAGGUGAAAUCCCCGGGCUCAACCUGGGAACUGCCUCCAAAACUGCAUGACUAGAGUACGGUAGAGGGUAGUGGAAUUUCCUGUGUAGCGGUGAAAUGCGUAGAUAUAGGAAGGAACACCAGUGGCGAAGGCGACUACCUGGACUGAUACUGACACUGAGGUGCGAAAGCGUGGGGAGCAAACAGGAUUAGAAACCCUAGUAGUCC
This 450-nucleotide ribosomal RNA is filed under the name uncultured bacterium. RNAcentral describes it as "partial 16S ribosomal RNA". It matches the Rfam family "Bacterial small subunit ribosomal RNA", at positions 354 to 796 of the family's 1533-position model. The record is from RNAcentral.